AACAUUACAUGGCAUUGCCUACUGAAGAUGGGACUUAGCACAAAAACCAUCAUGGAUUCCAUCAAAGAGAUUAUUAACGUCUCAAAACGUCUCCAAGGAUACAUGAUCUACAAAGGACCACAGAGUGCCCUGCAGAAUUGGGUUGAAAAACUAAAGAAGGCAAAUCGAGUUUAUGACCAAGAAGAUUUUGAAGUUUCAUCCUCAGAGUCAGGGUAACCUGAAAAGCCGAGACGGCACAACCAACAUGGAGCAUGUUCCUGAGAAAUUCCCAACUUUCCACUCAUCUCCAAACACCGUGAACUUUUCCAUCGAAAUUUUCCAGAUACAGCAAAGCUUCAAAGCACGAAAAAGAUGAACUCAAAACACCAGUGACCAGAGGAACCAUGACAACACAAACAAGAAGGAAACAAGAAAGAAAAGCAUAAUCCUGGUUUUUGUGUUCUGAAUUGUGGAUUUGAAAUUGAGGCUCCCGUGGCUGCUGACAGCCUGCCUUGAUGCUGCUGAUGUCUGGGUGAUGAACAGUCAUGGGUUUCCUCCCACCUGCCUCUGUGGAUUAAUGAAGAGCAAGGCAGGAAUGGCAGACCCGCCAUCUGGAAUGACCUUACCUGAUAAGAUUGUUCUGGCUUCCCCGCCAAAGGUGAGGAGGGCUUUCAGGAUGCAGGAGACUGUUUUCCCCACAACUUAAUGAGAAAAAUUGACCUGUUUAUUCACCAGCUGUCUUCUUUGUUUCUAAUCCAAGCAAUUGCUGCAAAAUCUUUUUCACUUCUUCCAUGUUGAAAUUGAGCAGAAAGCCCCUCGAGUGUGGCUUAUCUUUGGCAAACAACAAGGAAUCAGGUUGGAGGAUUCACACAGACUCGCUGGGAGACACAUGGAAUGGGAGACCAUCAAAUAUUUACACACUGUGUUCAAGAUCCAUUCUUAGAAGUGUGAGCAUAAUUUAUGUGACAUUUUGAGCACUGUGCCAGUGAGCGCCUUCUCUAUGUACAAAAUGUGCUUCUUUAGUCAUGGCUGUAUCACUUUUGGUGGAGUGCAGCCUUUGUGAGUUUCAAUGGUAUGGCAGCCAUUUCUCUGGGGCAAGAGUAGACACCACCAAGGAAAGCCAUUGUUUUCCUGUGUGAGCUAGUGUUUUCUCUAUAAAGCUUGUAAAAGGGUGUUCUACCUGUUGUGAACUUCUUGCUGAAAACUGUUUACUUUUGGAAUAUGCAUAUAUGUUCAUAAAAAGGGAAUGAAAUCUAUUGGGGCUGCCAAACAAUGACAGAAAUCAGAAUGUUAAAAUAACUCCAGCAAUCUAGAUAUUUCCUGUAAGUUUUCUGUGAAUUCUGGAUCUUGCAAUUUUUAAAAGACUUUAAUUUUUUUUUCUUUUCAAAUCUCCCUCUUCACAGAAUGGAUCUUGCAAUUUUUAAUGUCUGAAAGAAUUCUAUAGAUAAUAACAGCCAACAUCAAUAGCCUCCACAGUAUUCAAAGGGCAUGAUAUGUAUUUACUUACUUAAUUUUCCCUGCAAUCCUGAGUCAGAAAUAAUCAUUAUAACCAUUGUAGCUAACAUACCCAAGCACACACAGAAAUUAAGUGGUAAAGCCAUUGAGUUCAGCCACUGGACUUCAACUGAAUGUUCUUAAAUCCUAUGCUACAUUUGGCAGAACUAUGGUUUGUCCACCUUGGCACCAGUGACAUUUGAGGAUGGAUGAAUCCUUGUUGUCUAGGGCUGUCCCAUGCAUUGUAGGAUAUUCAGCAGCAUCCAUGGCCUCAACCCAUCAACUGCCAGUGCCACCCCCACAACCCCUCACUGUAACAACCCCAAAUGGCUCUAGAAUGGCCAGAUGUCCCCAGGGAGAACAAAAUCGCCCCUGGUUGAGAACCGCUGGGUCGAGCUACAUAAAAUUCCAACAUUGGAUUAUUCUUAACCUGCAAAAGUGGCAAUUUCAAUUGAACUUGGUCCAAUUGAAGUCUGUUCCUGGUCAAGCUUCCCUGAUAGACUAGUUUUUCAGAUGGGUUCAGAAGGGUGUUGAGUACAUGGGAAACGAGAGAUCUGGAAGGGCUUUGCAAACCCCAAAACUCCAGUAUGUGCAGCAGUCACAGAGACACCCCAGAUUCGGAAUAGACUGAGAUGAGAACCAAGGAACUGAUGGAGUUUGAAAUUACUUCGCUUUAAAGCACAUGUGCAGGUUAAUUGCUGACAAAGAAAGUUGCAGGUGGGCAUGGAAAGCUGGAGAGGGGCUCAAUGCAAAGUUUCUUAAAGGCUUAAACCAAUAAAACUCGAAUCCCAUUCCUCACUCUCCAAGGAGCCCACUCCAUUAUGAAAAAGAACUUCAAGCAAAUUUGAAUCUUUCUUCACUGAGUUCUAACGUACUCCAGACCUGUAUUGUGGAAGCUCUUCCUAAAGUCCAUUUGUGCUUCCUGGCUAAGUGUGGAAUGACUGCGCUGCUAUAUCCCAUCAUGGGCAAAGGGUACCUGCUAUGAAGGGCGAACUGGCAUCAGCCUAAGUCUUCAUUAAGAACAAGAACCACAACAUUUGGAGAUUACCAACAUGGUUUUCAGCCCUCAGCUUUGGUGAGACUUCUUCCUUUUCAUUCUUUUCUGGGCAAAUCUAAACCUUUGGAGAAGUAGAUGAGUGAAGUCAGUUGCAAAGGUAAGAGAGAUAUUCUGGGCUCUCCUAUAACCUCUUUUAGGACAGAAAUGGUUGGCAGGGACGUCUACCAAUCAUAACACCUUCACCUCACUUGGGGUGGGUUCCAUGAGCAGAUCGCUUUCUGCUGUGUUGCAAUUGCUUUCCAUGAAAAGCUGGCAUAAUUCCUUUUUUUUUUAAUUUUAAUUUUAAUUUUUAUUAUUAUACUUUAGGUUUUAGGGUACAUGUGCACAAUGUGCAGGUUUGUUACAUAUGUAUCCAUGUGCCAUGUUGGUGUGCUGCACCCAUUAACUCGUCAUUUAGCAUUAGGUAUAUCUCCUAAUGCUGUCCCUCCCCCCUCCCCCAACCCCACAACAGUCCCUGGAGUGUGAUGUUCCCCUUCCUGUGUCCAUGUGUUCUCAUUGUUCAAUUCCCACCUAUGAGUGAGAACAUGCGGUGUUGGGUUUUUUGUCCUUGCGAUAGUUUACCGAGAAUGAUGUUUUCCAAUUUCAUCCAUGUCCCUACAAAGGACAUGAACUCAUCAUUUUUUAUGGCUGCAUAGUAUUCCAUGGUGUAUAUGUGCCACAUUUUCUUAAUCCAGUCUAUCGUUGUUGGACAUUUGGGUUGGUUCCAACUCUUUGCUAUUGUGAAUAGUGCCGCAAUAAACAUACGUGUGCAUGUGUCUUUAUAGCAGCAUGAUUUAUAGUCCUUUGGGUAUAUACCCAGUAAUGGGAUGGCUGGGUCAAAUGGUAUUUCUAGUUCUAGAUCCCUGAGGAAUCGCCACACUGACUUCCACAAUGGUUGAACUAGUUUACAGUCCCACCAACAGUGUGAAAGUGUUCCUGUUUCUCCACAUCCUCUCCAGCACCUGUUGUUUCCUGAUUUUUUUAAUGAUGGCCAUUCUAACUGGUGUGAGAUGGUAUCUCACUGUGGUUUUGAUUUGCAUUUCUCUGAUGGCCAGUGAUGAUGAGCAUUUCUUCAUGUGUUUUUUGGCUGCAUAAAUGUCUUCUUUUGAGAAGUGUCUGUUCAUGU
Molecule: long non-coding RNA, 3635 nt
Organism: Symphalangus syndactylus (siamang)
Lineage: Eukaryota; Metazoa; Chordata; Mammalia; Primates; Hylobatidae
Source: RefSeq, a predicted model, not a curated record